GUAUUUAGGAGAGGAAUGCAGAAAAAAAUUAUAAUUGUUAUAAUAUAUACAAAAUUCUGCUUUUAAAUUCCACGAAUUAAAAUGGGACGCUGUUACUUUUGUAAUAAUACAAAAACUCAUGAAUCUGGAUUAACAUUUCACAAGUUUCCUCUAAACGAUCAACAUCUUUUGAAACAGUGGCUAAAUAAUUUUCCUAUAAAAAAUUGGACACCAACCUUGUCUUCCAAUGAGAAUGACAUCAAUAUUAUAGAAUAAAAGUAGAUAUCAAAUUUUAUUAUAUUUUAUAUUUACAAUUUUAUAGUCUUCUUUACUAUUAUUUUUCUAUGAUUGAUACAUUUCUAUUUUUAAUUUUUCUAUUUUGAUUUGUACAUAAGAUAAAUUGUGAAUAUAACAUAAUAGUGAAUAUAAAAUAAUCUAUUUUUUACAUCAAUCUUGUAAAAGUAAUAAUCAGUACGAAAAUAAACAUAAUGAGUUUAUUACAAAUA
Molecule: long non-coding RNA, 485 nt
Organism: Formica exsecta
Lineage: Eukaryota; Metazoa; Arthropoda; Insecta; Hymenoptera; Formicidae
Exons: 2
Source: RefSeq, a predicted model, not a curated record